ACUCAAUAGAUACCCGGGUAGUCCACGCCCUAAACGAUGUCAACUGGUUGUUGGUCCUUCACUGGAUCAGUAAACGAAAGCUAAACGCGUGAAGUUGACCGCCUGGGGAGUACGGCCGCAAGGUUGAAACUCAAAGGAAUUGACGGGGACUCGCACAAGCGGUGGAUGAUGUGGUUUAAAUUCGAUGCAACGCGAAAAACCUUACCUACCCUUGACAUGUCUGGAAUGGUGCAGAGAUGUGCCAGUGCCCGAAAGGGAGCCAGAACACAGGUGCUGCAUGGCUGUCGUCAGCUCGUGUCGUGAGAUGUUGGGUUAAGUCCCGCAACGAGCGCAACCCUUGUCAUUAGUUGCUACGAAAGGGCACUCUAAUGAGACUGCCGGUGACAAACCGGAGGAAGGUGGGGAUGACGUCAAGUCCUCAUGGCCCUUAUGGGUAGGGCUACACACGUCAUACAAUGGCUGGUACAGAGGGUUGCCAACCCGCGAGGGGAGCUAAUCCCAUAAAACCAGUCGUAGUCCGGAUCGUAGUCUGC
Molecule: ribosomal RNA, 533 nt
Filed under: uncultured bacterium
Lineage: Bacteria
Description: bacterial SSU rRNA
Rfam family: Bacterial small subunit ribosomal RNA
Source: RNAcentral